Molecule: ribosomal RNA, 647 nt
Filed under: uncultured bacterium
Lineage: Bacteria
Description: bacterial SSU rRNA
Rfam family: Bacterial small subunit ribosomal RNA
Source: RNAcentral
UGCAAGUCGAACGGGUCCUUCGGGACUAGUGGCGGACGGGUGAGUAACGCGUGGGAACAUACCCAAAGGUACGGAAUAGCCUCGGGAAACUGAGAGUAAUACCGUAUGUGCCCUUCGGGGGAAAGAUUUAUCGCCUUUGGAUUGGCCCGCGUUGGAUUAGGUAGUUGGUGGGGUAAUGGCCUACCAAGCCGACGAUCCAUAGCUGGUUUGAGAGGAUGAUCAGCCACACUGGGACUGAGACACGGCCCAGACUCCUACGGGAGGCAGCAGUGGGGAAUCUUAGACAAUGGGGGAAACCCUGAUCUAGCCAUGCCGCGUGAUCGAUGAAGGCCUUAGGGUUGUAAAGAUCUUUCAGUUGGGAAGAUAAUGACGGUACCAACAGAAGAAGCCCCGGCUAACUCCGUGCCAGCAGCCGCGGUAAUACGGAGGGGGCUAGCGUUAUUCGGAAUUACUGGGCGUAAAGCGCACGUAGGCGGAUUAGAAAGUCAGAGGUGAAAUCCCAGGGCUCAACCUUGGAACUGCCUUUGAAACUCCUAGUCUUGAGGUCGAGAGAGGUGAGUGGAAUUCCGAGUGUAGAGGUGAAAUUCGUAGAUAUUCGGAGGAACACCAGUGGCGAAGGCGGCUCACUGGCUCGAUACUGACGCUGA